UACGGGGGGGGCAAGCGUUGUUCGGAAUUACUGGGCGUAAAGGGCUCGUAGGUGGCCAACUAAGUCAGACGUGAAAUCCCCAGGCUCAACUUGGGAACUGCGUCUGAUACUGGAUGGCUUGAAUUCGGGAGAGGGAUGCAGAAUUCCAGGUGUAGCGGUGAAAUGCGUAGAUAUGACAUAGAACACCAAUUGCGAAGGCAGCUGACUACGGGAGCAUUGACACUGAGGCACGAAAGCGUGGGGAUCAAACAGG
RNAcentral lists this ribosomal RNA (253 nucleotides) under uncultured bacterium. RNAcentral's name for it is "partial 16S ribosomal RNA". It matches the Rfam family "Bacterial small subunit ribosomal RNA", at positions 524 to 776 of the family's 1533-position model. The record is from RNAcentral.